CCUACGGGAGGCAGCAGUGGGGAAUAUUGGGCAAUGGGCGCAAGCCUGACCCAGCAAUGCCGCGUGAAGGAAGAAGGCUUUCGGGUUGUAAACUUCUUUGACAGGGGAAGAGCAGAAGACGGUACCCUGAAAACAAGCCACGGCUAACUACGUGCCAGCAGCCGCGGUAAUACGUAGGUGGCAAGCGUUGUCCGGAUUUACUGGGUGUAAAGGGCGUGUAGCCGGGAAGGCAAGUCAGAUGUGAAAUCUGGAGGCUCAACCUCCAAAUUGCAUUUGAAACUGUUUUUCUUGAGUACUGGAGAGGCAGACGGAAUUCCUUGUGUAUCGGUGAAAUGCGUAGAUAUACGCAGGAACUCCGGUGGCGACGGCGGUCUGCUGGACAGCAACUGACGGUGAGGCGCGAAAGCGUGGGGAGCAAACAGGAUUAGAUACCCCAGUAGUC
Molecule: ribosomal RNA, 442 nt
Filed under: uncultured bacterium
Lineage: Bacteria
Description: partial 16S ribosomal RNA
Rfam family: Bacterial small subunit ribosomal RNA
Source: RNAcentral